Molecule: ribosomal RNA, 409 nt
Filed under: Netzelia corona
Lineage: Eukaryota; Tubulinea; Elardia; Arcellinida; Netzeliidae
Description: SSU rRNA
Rfam family: Eukaryotic small subunit ribosomal RNA
Source: RNAcentral
AGACCUCGGCCCGCCGANUAGCUCGACGAACCCGGACCCCCCCGCGGGGGCCGAAGGUUCGCUUGCGUGGGCCUCGGCCCGAUCGUCCGUCCUCGGGGCCUCGGCCCCGGGGUCGGGCGGANCUUCUCGGAGGGACCCCCCGUACAGCGAAGCGGGUGGAGGCGCGAGGCGAAAACAGGUCUGUGAUGCCCUUAGAUGUUCCGGGCCGCACGCGCGUUACAGUGACGCGCCCAACGAGCUUCGACCCGGCCCGUAGGGGUCGGGUAACCAUCAGGACGCGUCGCGGUGGGGACGGACCGUUGCAACUGUCGUUCUCGAACCAGGAAUUCCUAGNAGGCGCGGGUCAUCAGCCCGCGCCGAUUGCGUCCCUGCCNNUUGUACACACCGCCCGUCGCUCCUACCGAUCGAA